CUGGAGUCGGAUGUAGUCCAAUUUAUUGUCCAGGGAGCGGACAUUGGAGAGCAGAAUGGGUGGGAGACUCACUACGCCCUGCCUCUGUUUACAUCCUCAAAACAGAAGAAAAAACCCCAAAGAAUGAAUGACAGAAAAAAAACAUAAGAACUCCAAAGCCUCCUGCCCCCUGCCAUCAACAGGCAGCAGCAAGCCUCCUCUACAUUAUUGAGACCAAUAGUAAAUAGGGGUCCACUUCCUCGAGCACCUCUACUCCAUCUGCCAAAAGAAGAACUUCCUGGUUUCCAAAAAUUGAGAUUCUGAUUCUUAUUCCCAUUCUAAAAUGUUUGUCCAUGGCCUCCUCUUGUGCCACGAUGAGGCCACUCUCAGGGUGGAGGAGCAGCACCUUAUACUCCAUCUGCCUAGUCUCCAACCUGAAUAUCAAUUACUCCUUCUGGUAAAAUAAACUUCCCUCCCCCUCCCUCUUCUUCUAUUCCUCGCUCUGGCCUCUUACCUCUUCUCACCUGAUUAUCACCUCCCCCGGGUCCCCUCCUCCUUUCCUUUUUCCUAUGGCCCACUCUCCUCUCCUAUCAGAUUGCUUCUUCUCCAGCCCUUAAUCUUUCCUACCCACUAUGGCUCAUCUAUCACCUUCUAGCUAUCCUCCUUUCCUUCUGCCACUUUUUUAUUCUGGCCUUUUCCCCCUUUAUUCCCCCUGAAGACUGCACACCCAGAGGCUGCCUUCAUUGUUGCCGGUGACCUUAAUCGAGCGUUGUUGGCGAAAGUCUCUCUGAAGUUAUGUCAGCACAUCCAGGUGAGCACUCGGGGAGUUAACACACUUGACUACUGCUACACUCCCUUCCAAAUGCUUAUGAAGCUCUCCAUCGACCAGCUUUUGGAAAAACAGAUCACUCUUCGAUCCUGUUUCUGCCGACGUACAAGCAGAGGCUGAAACAUGAGGCGGCCAUAGUUAAAGCCGUCCACUGUUGGUCCAACAAAUCAACCUCCAUGCUGUAGGACUGCUUCAAUGACAUCGACUGGAAUGUCGUCCAUGAUGAGGAUGUCUCCAAGUUCACUGAUGGAGUCACGUGCUUCAUCUGGAAUUGCAUCAACGAUGUUGUCCGCCCUGAAGUCUGUCAGGGUCUUCCGAAACCAGAAACCCUGGAUUGAUAGUUACGUGUGAGCAGCAUUUACUGCGCGACAUAGAGCUUAGAUCAUUGGCGAUCAAUGAGAACUCAAGAAAACCAGCUAUGAUCUGCGCAAAGCUAUCAAGGCUGCAAAACAACGAUACAGGGACAAGACUGAGUCAAGAUUCACAACGAAUAGCACAUGUGACUUGUGGCGAGGGCUGCAUACUGUCGCAGAAUUCAAAGCCAAACGUUGUGGUGCUGCCAAUAUUGCAGCCUGUCUCCCAGAUGAGAUCAAUCACUUUCAUACUCGGUUCGAUGUUGCUAGCUUUGAGCCUCCGAGGAAAGCCACUGCUACAACCUGCAACCUGGUCAUCUCUGAGGCUGAGGUACGCAGAUGUUUCCAACGAGUGGACGGCAUCUCAGGGUGGCCUAUAACAAAAUGAUGGGAGAUGACACUUCUGUGGAUCACCAUUUCUUCUCCAAACCUCAGCGGUCUGACCAUAUUGGAGGCCGAAGAGUGAGGCUAUUACAUUGAAGACAAAGUUGACAGAAUUUCGACCCACCCAAAAAGUCCUCAGGCCUUCAUUCCACUGUUAUGUAGUCAAGGAAGCACACCAGCAAAACUACCACUCCAUGUAUAACCUGUGCAAUGCCUCCACUAAGCUUCAGUGCAUCGCCAUGCAAAUCAGAAUGCGCCAAUCAGCAUCGUUUGCAUGCGCCAUCUCCUCAGGCUGGUGGGCCAAAGAGAUUUGGACAGGACUAAGUGCUCCUUACACCGAAAUAAGAAGAAGAGAGAAAUCUGGACGUGUGAGAGGUAAUGAGCGGCCACAAACUUAUCAAUCACCCCUGCUGUGGACCACUUCUGGAGGUCCAGGACGCCGACUUCUACAAAGAAGGAAUCUGUAUGCUCCAUGACUGCUGGACUAAGUGUGUAAAUGUAGGAAAAAUAAAUGUGCCAGGUUUUCUAAAAUUGACUCCUUCUACCUUAGGCCACGGACUUAUCAAUCACCCCUUGUAUGUCUACAUAAUUAACUCGAGGUCUGACUUUUUUAAAACUUUCGGGGAUAAAGUAUGAAAAAUAAUGGCCCUCAAUUCAUAAUGCGAAAUUGAAUUUCUCAGCAACAGUAUUCAUAACUAAUUUUACAUGUUGUGGAAUAUAGAAAGUCUGAGAGAAGUUUAAAAUUGAUUUUUGAUAUUCCAUGUUACAAACCCAUUUGAUAAGGUGGAUUAGGGUGGACUUGAGAGAUACAUAGUAUACUAGAUUACAUGGUUGAUAAAUUGGAGGUUAGAAGGUUUUUCUUUCUUGCGGAGAAGCAGUGUAGUAAGUUGAAUCACGGGUUGUGUGAUUUGCCAGAACACACGACUGUUUGAAAGAGGGAGGCUGGUAUUGUGAAACAUAUUAUGCUAUGGCUGUUCUCCUGGAAUUUGUGUGAUCAUCAGUGUUUUUUUUCCAGAUUAGCUUUGGUGUUUCUUUGAGGCGUGAAUUGGAAUGGGGUGCAGGGUGUGAGGGCUGAUGGUGGAGUAAGGCGUGGGCAAUUUAGUGCAUUGGCAACGGAUUCCUAUCAGUGAUGUUCUCCAGCAUUUACACAUCAAUAGCUACAGCAUAUUUUUAGCCAUAAUGCUGAGAUCAUUGCAAAGUUCUUUUGCAAUUAAAUAACAUUACAACCACAAUUUCAAUAAAUGAACAUUUGGUACUUCUUGGGAUAUCUUCUUUUACUUAAUGUUUUUCAAACAUUGGCUGCAGUCCUGCAAAAGACUUUGGCUAAAAUAAAACAGUCCUUUGUUAUCUUAAGAGUGUUGUUAAAAUAUCCAACUAUAGCAACCAGAGUCUGGGAAUCAUUCCUCAU
Long non-coding RNA from Mobula hypostoma (lesser devil ray), 2953 nucleotides. RefSeq lists it as uncharacterized. The transcript has 6 exons. Lineage: Eukaryota; Metazoa; Chordata; Chondrichthyes; Myliobatiformes; Myliobatidae. The record is from RefSeq and is a predicted model, not a curated record.